Molecule: non-coding RNA, 45 nt
Filed under: Schistosoma haematobium
Lineage: Eukaryota; Metazoa; Platyhelminthes; Trematoda; Strigeidida; Schistosomatidae
Source: RNAcentral
AUCCAGCUGACAGGUGCCAAAUAGGACGAAACGCCUGUCCUGGAU